AUUGAACGCUGGCGGAAUGCUUUACACAUGCAAGUCGAACGGCAGCACGGACUUCGGUCUGGUGGCGAGUGGCGAACGGGUGAGUAAUGUAUCGGAACGUGCCCAGUCGUGGGGGAUAACGUAGUGAAAAUUUCGCUAAUACCGCAUACGAUCUAUGGAUGAAAGCGGGGGAUCGCAAGACCUCGCGCGAUUGGAGCGGCCGAUAUCAGAUUAGGUAGUUGGUGGGGUAAAGGCCCACCAAGCCAACGAUCUGUAGCUGGUCUGAGAGGACGACCAGCCACACUGGAACUGAGACACGGCCCAGACUCCUACGGGAGGCAGCAGUGGGGAAUUUUGGACAAUGGGCGAAAGCCUGAUCCAGCCAUUCCGCGUGCAGGAUGAAGGCCCUCGGGUUGUAAACUGCUUUUGUACAGAACGAAAAGGUUUCUACUAAUACUAGGAGCUCAUGACGGUACUGUAAGAAUAAGCACCGGCUAACUACGUGCCAGCAGCCGCGGUAA
This 500-nucleotide ribosomal RNA is filed under the name uncultured bacterium. Its description in RNAcentral is "partial 16S ribosomal RNA". It matches the Rfam family "Bacterial small subunit ribosomal RNA", at positions 30 to 523 of the family's 1533-position model. The record is from RNAcentral.